Meriones unguiculatus (Mongolian gerbil) is the source of this 2083-nucleotide long non-coding RNA. RefSeq lists it as uncharacterized. The transcript is spliced from 3 exons. The record is from RefSeq and is a predicted model, not a curated record. Lineage: Eukaryota; Metazoa; Chordata; Mammalia; Rodentia; Muridae.
GUUGAGGAACAUCUAGAUUGUUUCCAGUUUCUGGCUAUUACAAAUAAAUCAACAUAGUUGAGCAAGUGGUUUGGUGAGCCAUCUUUUGGAUGUAUGCUAAGACAAUCUAUCACUUGAAACUCUGGGAGAAGAUGUGUUAUCUCAGCUCUAGUGAGACUGUCUUAUGGGAGAAGUUCUUCACAGUACAAGUUCAAAGAACCCGGUGGGAUGACUUAGAAGCAAUCCACCAGAGUCCUCUGGCCUCUAUGUUCAUCAUAAAUGGAAAGGUGGUGCAGGAACAGAAGAUUUCCGAAUGUCAGUGCUUCAACAGUGCACGGAUUUAUUUUUUUGUAUGUGUAAUAUCAGUUGCAGGUCCAAGUAGUUUUCCAAGAAACUGGACUAUAUUUCAGACUUAGGGAUAGAGAUUAAGGGGAAUUAUUCUAUCUGGUAUCUACCACCUGAAGCACAUGUACACAGGCCUCUACACAAGGGGUCAAGGGGUUGAUUUACUUUUUGCUGACUCUUCUUGGAUGUGACAUGUAUUCUUACUCAUAUUUCAUUGAUUUAUUGAUCUUAAGGUAUGGUGUAUUCAAAUGAUAAAGAGGUGUAUAAUAUGUUCAGAAUGAAUCGGGAUGAGAUGUUCAGAGAGACGGGAGCUUGAGGACACAAGAGACUUUGUGUUUUCUGUGAAUGAAAUAGAAAACCAUUGAUAGAUAGGCAUCAUGAUUUAUGUUGAUUUAUUAUGAUUUAUGUUGAAUGCUGAUCAAAGGACACAACAGUGUAAGCUGGGAAGCCAGCUCAGAGGUUAAAAAAAAAAAAAACAGGAAAGAGAUGAUGGUGUUCAGAACAAAUAAGGAACAAGGAAGAUAUUGUAUUUAUUAUUGUUGUUGUUUUUGUUAUUGUUAUUUUGUUUUAUUUAUCUGAGACACGUGUCCCUGGAAAUCCUGAAACUCACUCUAUAGGUGAGGCUGGCCUUAAACUCACAGAGAUCUGCUGCCUCUAUCACUGAGAUUAAAAGCAUGUACUACCACUAUUCAGGUUAAGAAAGAUGUUUUUGUAUACUUGAGCAUCUUUUGGAUAUAUGCCUAGGAGUGGUAUAGUUGGAUCUUGAGGUAGCACUAUUCCUAAAUGUCUGAGAAAGUGCCAGAUUGAUUUCAAAGGUGGUUGUACAAGUUUACAUUCCCACCAGCAAUGGAGGAGGGUUCCCCUUUCUCCACAUCCUCUCCAGCAUGUGUUGUCACUCGAGUUUUUGAUCUUCACCAUUCUGAUGGGUGUCAGAUGAAAUCUCAGGGUCGUUUUGAUUUGCACUUACUUUAUAGCUAUAGCUAAAGAUGUUGAGCAUUUCUUUAAGUGUUUCUCUGCCAUUCGUUAUUUCUCUAUUAAGAAUUUUCUGUUUAGCUCUGUAUCCCAUUUUAAAAUUGGAUUACUUGAUUUGUUGUUGUUUAACUUUUUGAGUUCUUUACAUAUUCUGGAUAUUAGCCCUCUGUCAGAUAUAGGGUUGAUGAAGAUCCAUUCCCAAUCUGUAGGUUGUCAUUUUAUUCCAGUCAUGUUCAUAGCAGCUUUAUUUGUAAUAGCCAGAAGCUGGAAACCACCCAGAUGUCCCUCAGUUGAGGAAUGGAUACAGAAACUGUGGUACAUACACACAAUGGAAUACUACUCAGCAAUUAAAAACAAGGAAAUCGUGAAAUUUGCAGGCAAGUGAUGGGAACUAGAAAAGAUCAUCCUCAGUGAGGUAUCCCAGAAACAGAAAGACACAUGGUAUAUACUCACUUCUAAGUGGAUAUUAGACAUCUAAUAGGAUAAACAUACUAAAAUCUAUACAUCUAAAGAAGCUAAGAAAGAAGGAGGACCCUGGGUAAGAUGAUCCAUCCUCAUUCAGAAAGGCAAACUGGACAUACAUCAGAAGAGGAAGAAAACAAGGAACGGGACAGGAACCUAUCACCGAGGGCCUCUGGAAGACUCUAUCCAGCAGAGUAUGAAAGCAGAUGCUGAGACUCAUAGCCAAACUUUGGGCACAGUGCAGGGAAUCUUAUGAAAGAAGGGGGAGAUAGAAGGAUGUGGAGGGCACAGGAGCUCCACAAGGAGAGCAGCAGAAACAGCUACA